GGGGAUGACUGGAUUUGACGGCAAGACGAAAUGGUACGUAAGCACGCGGAGGCUCGUUGGCUACCUCCUAAAACUGAGUGAACACAAAAUUAAUUGGCAACAACAAGUAUGCUCUCGCUGCUUGAUCGAAGUACAGUAGAUCUUUCGCUUAAUUUCUUCACCAGGUGAGGAAACGAGACGUCGCUCCGAGGAUGUUGUUCCGAAUCCGGAGAUUCAGCGGCGCAGGUUAAAUCGGAAAUAGCCUUUGCAGGCCUCGAUGCAGGGGUGAAGCUUUAGAGGAUAAGGUUGCAGUUGGUGGCUUGGGUCUUGCUGCAGCACGAAAAUCAAGACCAAGAUAAGCGUGUAGAAAGCGUAUGGUUUCCUUGUGCGGACGAGGGUUCGACUCCCUCCAUCUCCAC
RNAcentral lists this transfer-messenger RNA (398 nucleotides) under uncultured Prevotella sp. It matches the Rfam family "transfer-messenger RNA". From Rfam's summary of the family: Bacterial tmRNA, also known as 10Sa RNA or SsrA, is named for its dual tRNA and mRNA-like properties. Its role is to liberate the mRNA from a stalled ribosome. Lineage: Bacteria; Pseudomonadati; Bacteroidota; Bacteroidia; Bacteroidales; Prevotellaceae. The record is from RNAcentral.